GAUAAGAACGCAGCGAAAUGCGAUAAGUAGUGUGAAUUGCAGAAUUCAGUGAAUCAUCGAAUCUUUGAACGCACAUUGCGCCUUCUAGUAUUCUGGGAGGCAUGCCUGUUUGAGCGUCAUUAAACCUCUCUCAAGUAUGAUUACUUGGAUGUGAAGGAAGAGUACCUUAAACUUAAGGAGUGUUCUCCUUUGAAAUUGAUUAGCAGAUGGUAAUGUUAUUAAAUCCCUGAUGUUGUAAGAAAUAACAGUGGUUUUGUAGACUAUUAUCUAGCUUUAAAUUAUAAUUUUUAUUAUGGUUGACCUCAAAUCAGGUAAGGAUACCCGCUGAACUUAAGCAUAUCAAUAAGCGGAGGA
This 354-nucleotide unclassified non-coding RNA is filed under the name soil metagenome. Its description in RNAcentral is "partial contains 5.8S ribosomal RNA, internal transcribed spacer 2, and large subunit ribosomal RNA". The stretch from base 4 to 119 matches the Rfam family "5.8S ribosomal RNA", at positions 39 to 154 of the family's 154-position model. The record is from RNAcentral.